GACGAACGCUGGCGGCGUGCUUAACACAUGCAAGUCGAACGGAAAGGCCCUGCUUUUGUGGGGUGCUCGAGUGGCGAACGGGUGAGUAACACGUGAGUAACCUGCCCUUGACUUUGGGAUAACUUCAGGAAACUGGGGCUAAUACCGGAUAGGAGCUCCUGCUGCAUGGUGGGGGUUGGAAAGUUUCGGCGGUUGGGGAUGGACUCGCGGCUUAUCAGCUUGUUCGUGGGGUAGUGGCUUACCAAGGCUUUGACGGGUAGCCGGCCUGAAAGGGUGACCGGCCACAUUGGGACUGAGAUACGGCCCAGACUCCUACGGGAGGCAGCAGUGGGGAAUAUUGCACAAUGGGCGGAAGCCUGAUGCAGCAACGCCGCGUGCGGGAUGACGGCCUUCGGGUUGUAAACCGCUUUCGCCUGUGACGAAGCGUGAGUGACGGUAAUGGGUAAAGAAGCACCGGCUAACUACGUG
Molecule: ribosomal RNA, 468 nt
Filed under: uncultured bacterium
Lineage: Bacteria
Description: partial 16S ribosomal RNA
Rfam family: Bacterial small subunit ribosomal RNA
Source: RNAcentral